RNAcentral lists this ribosomal RNA (375 nucleotides) under uncultured bacterium. Its description in RNAcentral is "bacterial SSU rRNA". It matches the Rfam family "Bacterial small subunit ribosomal RNA", at positions 524 to 898 of the family's 1533-position model. The record is from RNAcentral.
UACGUAGGGAGCGAGCGUUGUCCGGAUUUACUGGGUGUAAAGGGUGCGUAGGCGGCUCUGCAAGUCAGGCGUGAAAUACAUGGGCUUAACCCAUGGACUGCGUUUGAAACUGUGGAGCUUGAGUGAAGUAGAGGUAGGCGGAAUUCCCGGUGUAGCGGUGAAAUGCGUAGAGAUCGGGAGGAACACCAGUGGCGAAGGCGGCCUACUGGGCUUUAACUGACGCUGAAGCACGAAAGCAUGGGUAGCAAACAGGAUUAGAUACCCUGGUAGUCCAUGCCGUAAACGAUGAUUACUAGGUGUGGGGGGUCUGACCCCUUCCGUGCCGGAGUUAACACAAUAAGUAAUCCACCUGGGGAGUACGGCCGCAAGGUUGAA